CUGCCAAAAUUCUGUGGCUGC
Molecule: non-coding RNA, 21 nt
Filed under: Arabidopsis thaliana (thale cress)
Lineage: Eukaryota; Viridiplantae; Streptophyta; Magnoliopsida; Brassicales; Brassicaceae
Source: RNAcentral